Rhincodon typus (whale shark) is the source of this 339-nucleotide long non-coding RNA. RefSeq lists it as uncharacterized. The transcript is spliced from 3 exons. NCBI's taxonomy places the organism in Eukaryota, Metazoa, Chordata, Chondrichthyes, Orectolobiformes, Rhincodontidae. The record is from RefSeq and is a predicted model, not a curated record.
CAAGGAUUCCCCAGGGAUCAACGCUACCUACACAAGUUUGAACUUGGGGGAACAGUCGGUGUACGGUAACCUAAAAAGGUGAGAUGCUGGGAAAUGUUCUGCCUCAGUAAGAAGCGACUGAAGUGAGCCAGUCUCUGAACAGUGUUUCACUCUCCAUUUGACCCUAUGCUUUCAUUUCAACUUCAAGAGAAUCCUUAAAGAACUUCUGUCCUCAAAGACACAGACAUGAUUAAAAUCUCUGGAUACUUAAUGCUGCAGUAUAUUUCUGUCCUUUAAAUCAAGUUUAGGGACAUCUCCCUAUUGGGGACCUAGUGAACACGGGUAUUUUAUAAGUCUACC